CCCAGAAGGACAUGGCGGAAGAAAACUACCAAGACGUCCCAUCUGUAUCUACUAUUUCCUCCAACCAAUUUGUAUUUUGUACCACAACCCUAUUUGUGGGAACAAUGGGUUAACAUACCAGAAUGAAUGUGAGCUGUGCCUUUUCUGCAGGAGAUACAACAAGGACAUCAGAAUUGUCAAGGAUGGACCAUGUUAAAUAUGGAAGAUACUUCCUUGUUUCAAUUUCACGAUGCUUGCAAAACCAUUUAAAAUGCACAAAGCCAC
Long non-coding RNA from Python bivittatus (Burmese python), 264 nucleotides. RefSeq lists it as uncharacterized. Lineage: Eukaryota; Metazoa; Chordata; Lepidosauria; Squamata; Pythonidae. The record is from RefSeq and is a predicted model, not a curated record.